GUUGUAAAACUGCUUUUAUAUGGGAGCAAUAAGGCCUUACGUGUAGGUUGAUGAGAGUCCCAUUUGAUUAAGCACCGGCUAAUUCCGUGCCAGCAGCCGCGGUAAUACGGAGGGUGCAAGCGUUAUCCGGAUUUAUUGGGUUUAAAGGGUGCGUAGGCGGUUUGAUAAGUCAGCGGUGAAAUAUUUCAGCUUAACUGGAAGGGUGCCGUUGAUACUGUCAGGCUUGAAUUUAGUUGCUGUGGGUGGACUGUGUGGUGUAGCGGUGAAAUGCAUAGAUAUCACACAGAAUAUCGAUUGCGAAGGCAGCUCACGAAGCUAACAUUGACGCUGAUGCACGAAAGUGUGGGGAUCAAACAGGAUUAGAUACCCUGGUAGUCCACACUGUAAACGAUGAUAACUCGCUGUCGGCGAUACAUAGUCGGUGGCCAAGCGAAAGCGAUUAGUUAUCCACCUGGGGAGUACGACCGCAAGGUUGAAACUCAAAGGAAUUGACGGGGGCCCGCACAAGCGGAGGAACAUGUGGUUUAAUUCGAUGAUACGCGAGGAACCUUACCCGGGCUCGAACGGUGCAUGAAUGAUUCAGAGAUGGAUCAGUCCUUCGGGACAUGUAUCGAGGUGCUGCAUGGUUGUCGUCAGCUCGUGCCGUGAGGUGUCGGCUUAAGUGCCAUAACGAGCGCAACCCUUGUCGUUAGUUACCAUCAAGUAAUGUUGGGGACUCUAGCGAGACUGCCACCGUAAGGUGUGAGGAAGGGGGGGAUGACGUCAAAUCAGCACGGCCCUUACGUCCGGGGCGACACACGUGUUACAAUGGUAGGUACAGAGGGCAGCUACCCAGUGAUGGGGUGCGAAUCUCAAAAACCUAUCUCAGUUCGGAUUGGAGUCUGCAACUCGACUCCAUGAAGUUGGAUUCGCUAGUAAUCGCGCAUCAGCCAUGGCGCGGUGAAUACGUUCCCGGGCCUUGUACACACCGCCCGUCAAGCCAUGGAAGCCGGGGGUGCCUGAAGUUCGUGACCGCAAGGAGCGACCUAGGGCAAAACUGGUAACUGGGGCUAAGUCGUAACAAGGUAGCCGUAGAAUCGA
RNAcentral lists this ribosomal RNA (1080 nucleotides) under uncultured bacterium. RNAcentral's name for it is "bacterial SSU rRNA". It matches the Rfam family "Bacterial small subunit ribosomal RNA", at positions 422 to 1511 of the family's 1533-position model. The record is from RNAcentral.